AUGCUUGUCUUUGUCUUUCAGAUGCUGUGCCGGUGUUCAAGAUACUGUGGUGGAGAUUUGGCUUGGGCAUUACUUGGGAGAACUUCAGCACAUGAUCCUGUAGCUGCCUUGCAUAAGCAUGCUCUGGGAUGUCACAACUGCUAUCAUCUGUGGAGGAUCUGUGGAAGCAUUUCUGGGUGCGAUCAGCAGUAAUACUGUGGUAAUCUGCUGCAUGAUUGCUUUCAAAUGCCUCAUGAAAGACAAAACUGUACUUACAAUCUCAAAUAAGAGGAUAAAUUUAUUAUAAUUUCAGUACAAUAAUAAACAGAAACUAACACUUGAAGAGGUUUUAGUG
This 334-nucleotide long non-coding RNA is filed under the name Coturnix japonica (Japanese quail). RNAcentral describes it as "lncRNA (ENSCJPG00005000926.1)". The record is from RNAcentral. Lineage: Eukaryota; Metazoa; Chordata; Aves; Galliformes; Phasianidae.